UAAAUUGUAAUUUUUUAUUAGUAGGUAUUGCAUAUCAUUUAAGGAAAAUUUUAUUUUUAAUAAAAUAUAAAAUUAAAAGGUAGAAUUUUUAUUAUUUUUAUUGUUUCAUAAUAAAAAUUAUAAAAUUUAGGGUUGAAAAGUCGACUUUUAGGAUAUUUGUUUAAAGAAUUGUUAUUAGAAAUUUAUAUUAUUAAUUAAAGAUUUAAUAUAAAAAGUAUAAGUUGAAGUAUUUUUAUGGUUAGUUUUAUAACUGUUUAUAUAUAGGAUAAAUUUUGUUUAGUGGGUGAAAAAUAAAGUUAUUAAAUUUGUAAUAACUUGAUUAUUUUAAAAUAAGUAAUUAGUUAAAAUUAUUUAAAAAUUUUAAAUUUAAUAAAAUAACUAAAAAAUUAAUCAAAUGUUUUUUAAAGACUUAGACUUUUUAAUAAAGUUUGCUUCUGCCCAAUGAAUAUAAUUAAAUGGCAGUCUUAGCGUGAGGACAUUAAGGUAGCAAAAUAAUUUGUGCUUUUAUUGAGUUCCAGUAUGAAUGAAGUUAUUGGUUAAUUAUUUUUUUAUUUUAUAAAUGAAUUUAAUUUAAUAUAAAAAAAUAUUGUUAUAAUAACACAAAGAUAAGUCUUCGGAAAUUCUAUUUUAAAGUUAAUUAACAAUUUUAUUAAUUUUAAAAAUUUUCUAGGGCAGAAUUUUAUAUAAUUAAGUAUUCUAUUAAUAAUUAUAAGAAUUACUCCGGAGUUAACAGAAAAUCAUACCUAAUCUAGUUCUUAUAGUAAGGUAAGUUUUACAUCGAUGUUGUAUUUAAGUUUAUUAAAAAAGGAGAAAAUUUAAGUUUUAAGACUGUUCUUCUUUUAAUUAAUUUAACGUGAUAUUAGUUUAAUUCAUUGUGAAGAAGAAUUGUUUUCUUUGGUUGUUAUUAAUUUUUAGUUUUAAUAGUACGAAAGGAAAAUUAAAAAAAGUUUUAAACUUUUAAAAGAAUUAAAGUUUCUU
RNAcentral lists this ribosomal RNA (978 nucleotides) under Cylicocyclus ashworthi. RNAcentral's name for it is "large subunit ribosomal RNA". Lineage: Eukaryota; Metazoa; Nematoda; Chromadorea; Rhabditida; Strongylidae. The record is from RNAcentral.